GUCUACGGCCCUGCCACCCUCAACAAGCCCGAUCCCGUCUGAUCUUGGAAGCUAAGCAGGGUCGGGCCUGGUUAGUACUUGGAUGGGAGACCAACUAGGAAGACCAGGUGCUGUAGGGG
Molecule: ribosomal RNA, 119 nt
Filed under: Pteropus alecto (black flying fox)
Lineage: Eukaryota; Metazoa; Chordata; Mammalia; Chiroptera; Pteropodidae
Source: RNAcentral